GUAGUGAUGGUUCAGUGGUAGAAUUCUCGUCUUCCAGGCGGGAGACUCAGGUUCAAUUCCCAACCAAUGCU
Molecule: transfer RNA, 71 nt
Filed under: Loxodonta africana (African savanna elephant)
Lineage: Eukaryota; Metazoa; Chordata; Mammalia; Proboscidea; Elephantidae
Rfam family: tRNA
About the family: Transfer RNA (tRNA) molecules are approximately 80 nucleotides in length.
Source: Rfam by way of RNAcentral